Molecule: transfer RNA, 82 nt
Organism: Sphaerobolus stellatus SS14
Lineage: Eukaryota; Fungi; Basidiomycota; Agaricomycetes; Geastrales; Sphaerobolaceae
Rfam family: tRNA
About the family: Transfer RNA (tRNA) molecules are approximately 80 nucleotides in length. Their secondary structure includes four short double-helical elements and three loops (D, anti-codon, and T loops).
Source: Rfam
GGUCUUAUGGGGUAGUGGUUAGCCCCCGAGAUUUUGAAGAUCUUGGCUUCUCGUGACCCCGGUUCGAAUCCGGGUAAGACCU